This is a transfer RNA of 86 nucleotides. It matches the Rfam family "tRNA". From Rfam's summary of the family: Transfer RNA (tRNA) molecules are approximately 80 nucleotides in length. Their secondary structure includes four short double-helical elements and three loops (D, anti-codon, and T loops).
GGUCGGGUAGAUCAGUUGGUUUAGAUCGUUGACCUAAUACCUUGUGGAACAGUCAAAGGCCGAGGGUUCAAGCCCCUCUCUGACCA